UGGAGUAUAGCCAAGUGGUAAGGCAUCGGUUUUUGGUACCGACAUGCAAAGGAAUCCUUCUACUCCAG
This 68-nucleotide transfer RNA is filed under the name Macleaya cordata. It matches the Rfam family "tRNA". Rfam says of the family: Transfer RNA (tRNA) molecules are approximately 80 nucleotides in length. Their secondary structure includes four short double-helical elements and three loops (D, anti-codon, and T loops). Lineage: Eukaryota; Viridiplantae; Streptophyta; Magnoliopsida; Ranunculales; Papaveraceae. The record is from Rfam by way of RNAcentral.